Molecule: non-coding RNA, 4921 nt
Organism: Oryctolagus cuniculus (rabbit)
Lineage: Eukaryota; Metazoa; Chordata; Mammalia; Lagomorpha; Leporidae
Source: RefSeq, a predicted model, not a curated record
CUUCCUCCCGGAGCCCUACAAGGCGCUUCCUCCCUGCCAGAGGCCCAUACAAGGCGCUUCCUUCCCGGCGCGUCUGGCAGGCGGCCCGCGGGCGGCUGCGGGCUGGGAGCCCGGGCUCGGAGUCCGCCCGCACCCGGGAGCCCGCGGCCAGGGGGAGCCCGCUGCCAAGGAGGGGGCGGCCGGCGGGAGGGGCCGGGAGAGCGCGGCCCGGCCGGGUCGCCGCCGGGCCCGGCGCAGGGAAACGCGCACAGGGCGGCUUCGAGUCCGUUGGCAGGCGCAGUACCUUCCUCCACACCCCGGAGGUCGGAGGCGCCCUCCGCUCCCCACAGCUUUCGCAUUUCCCCCCGCUUCCUUCCCCGACCCCUUGCUGGAGAUCCGUCAGCAGCUCCCAGCCCGGAACCUGAAGCCCCAACUCCCAAGCACCGCGUCCGAGCCCGCCCGCUCGUCUUCUGUGUUUGGCAAGUUGGUCUUCGGUCAUCCCUAACUGCUUCUCUCUGUGCCUUCCUCCCUCCUUGCCGGUCCCCCCCCCCCCCCGCCUUUCCUCAAGCUGUCCCCAUGUUCCCGGUGGGCCCCUUCCACAACCAUUCUCUGAGCGAACGCCUCACCCCCAUCCCGGCGGUCAGGAGACCUAUGACCUUGACAGUUGGCUCCCGCUCACCUUUGCGUUUCUCGUUCUGACCUCGGGAAAUGAUCACUAGGAUUGUAUCUGGGCGAGGGAAAGUGGGGAAGGCCUGUUUUUACCGCAGACAGAGGACCUUGAUUUUACCUUCGGUCUGGAGUUAGAUGAGCAGCUUAACGGUGUAGGGGAACUUGGAGGGGUGGGCUGGGAUGCGUGCAGACCGAGAAGGGGCCAGCAGUGCCUGCUGGGUGUCCCCCUCCCGAAUGGCCUCUGCUGCUCCACCUACAGAUCUGGUCAACCCACUACUGCAAGAACCCCCAAGCCCCACGGGCUCUCCCCAGAGCACCUCCAGAGAUUUAAACCGGGCCCAAAGGCGUGGCUACCCUGCCCUGGGUGAGGAUCAAAGGGACAGCAGACACAGAAGCAGCCGCAGGUCCCCAGCUCCCAUCCCCUAGCUGGGACCAGCGUGUUCCAGCGGCACAGUUGUCCUCAAAGCCCAGGUUUUCUGCUGGGGAGGAGACAGGCCAGCCACCAUGUGGCCAGCUGGGCUGAGUGCCCUGAUUGUGCCUCCGCAGGUGAGGCAGGUAAAGAAAGGCUCCGAAUUUGGGGAUGACAGGAGUGUGUGUGUGUGUGUGUGGGGGGGGUGAUUUGCCAGAAAGGAGCUAGUGCCAAACAGCUUCUGGGUCUGAUCCAGAAUAAAAUCAAAGGCUUCCGGACACACACAUCCACGCACGUGCGCAGUGUGAUUGUAAAUAAGGAGCUUUGCGGGUCUUCCCGCCCCAGAGAUGCUGAGUGCCUGUGAAUUGUGUGCAUGCAUGGAGAGGCUUCCAAAAAUCUGGAGUCAGGUUUUGUAAAAAGCUGGGACUCAAGGCCGAGCCUCACAUCCCCGGCCUGGAGCGCCGCCUGUCCUGUUUUCCCAGCCAGUGCUGCAGGUCCCCCACAAGCCUACGCGCCUGGUUGCCACCUAGGAUUGUGGGUAAUGUAGUCCAUAGAGGCCAGGCUGCCACUGACGGUGCUUCCCGCCCUUUUCCCGCUUCCUCUCCGCCCCCUGCCGGCCAUCACCCGCUCCUGCCUGAGGCUGACGGAGUGAAGGGUGAGCCGUGUUUGUGGGCUGGGAGAUCCCCGACGGGAAACCAGCGAGCUAUUUAUAACGGAGCCUGGAGGAGGGGAAGGCCUGAGAGGAGGUGGGGCGUCCCUGGAGGCUGCCGCAGAAUUUUCAGGAACCCCAGGCCCCUGCUUGGGCAGGACUUAUGUUCUCUUUCGUGUGAGGGCACUGGGAGCACCCGAAAAUCCUGGGAAGCACAGAGGCUGUUCUUGGCUUGCGAGGACACAGUGGACCCUGGAACCUGGCCUUUGGGCCUUUCUGUGGUGGGGACAUUGAAACCUGGAUUUUGAUUAAUAGGCUUUUUUUGGGGAGGAAAAAAUUGAGUGAGACACCCCAUUAAGAUCAAUUGGCUGAUAUGAGGGUACUUUUAAAAAAAGAUUAUUUAUUUGAAAGGCACAACGUUAGAAAGAGGGCGAGACAGAGAGAGAGAGAGAUCUUCCGUCUUCUGGUUUACUCCCCAGCCGGCCCCGACGCCUGGGGCUGAGCCAAGAGCUAGGAACUCCAUCUGGGGCUCCUGUGUGGGUGCAGCAGCCGAAGUACUCGAGUGUCCCCGCUGUUUUCCCAGGUGCAGUAGCAGGGAGCCAGACUGGAAGCAGGUCUGCUGGGAUGCCGGCGGCGCCAGAGGCGGCCGCUGUACAAGAGUACUUCAACAAGAGUUUCUGGAGAAGUGCAACUACUAGAAAUCCCAACUUCAAGAAUAGCACCUAGGGAUGCAUGAUGAAGAAAAACGCCAGCUCCGCCUGACCAGGCAUGCUUGCCCUUUGCAAAGGACAACUGGAUUUCAGCAGGGCCAUCAUCUAGAUCAGCUGUUUCUACUUUCUACUUAAGGACUGUUACUUCUUGAGACCUUUGUGGAUCAACCUCUUAGAAAGCUCUCGUGGAUCCAGGAAGAGCAGAGCAGGUGGGUUAAAGCCCCAGUCUGCAGUGCUGGCAUCCCAUAUGGGCACCAGUUCGAGUCCCGGUUGCUCCACUCUAAUCCAGCUCCCUGCUAAUGUACCUGGGAAAGCAGCAAAGGAUAGCCCAAGUCCUUGGCCCCCUGCACCCAUGUGGGAGACCUGGAAGAAGCUCCUGGCUUCGGACUGGUUCAGCUCCAGCCGUUGCAGCCAUUUGGUGAGUGAACCAGAGGAUGGAUGACCUCUCUAUUUCAAAUAAAUAAAUCUUAAAACAAACAAAUAAAUAAACCUUACCAUGCUGGGGAGAGAAGAGAAAAAGAGCAGUUGUGAAGGUUCACAGCUGAAGAGAGGACAGACAACAGACUCCAAUGGAUUAGAAAGUUUGAGGCUGAGGAGAAUGUUGGGACAAAUUAACAAUGUGAAUCCAAAACAAGCAAGACAAUGAUGUGGAGGGUAAAGCAAUGACCUUAAGAUAAGCCUCUAUUUACUUUCCACUGCAGAUAGGUUAAGAAGAUAAACAUUCAUUAUGCAACUUUACUGUAAAACACAGCUGGACAACCUUAUACACACAUCCAUUCCAGAGAGGGCAAAGAAGUGAAUGCACACCUAAGAGCAUGAUCUUGUCCUAAGAAUCCAUUUUUAAAAAUGGUUCGGGGCCGGCGCCGUGGCUCAAUAGGCUAAUCCUCCACCUUGCGGCGCCGGCACCCCGGGUUCUAGUCCCGGUCAGGGCGCCGGAUUCUGUCCCGGUUGCCCCUCUUCCAGGCCAGCUCUCUGCUAUGGCCAGGGAGUGCAGUGGAGGAUGGCCCAGGUGCUUGGGCCCUGCACCCCAUGGGAGACCAGGAAAAGCACCUGGAUCCUGGCUCCUGCCAUCGGAUCAGCGCGGUGCGCCAGCUGCAGCGGCGGGCCAUUGGAGGGUGAACCAACGGCAAAGGAAGACCUUUCUCUCUCUGUCUCUCUCUCUCACUGUCCACUCUGCCUGUCAAAAUAAAAAAAAAAUCUCUCUGUCACUCCCUUUCUCUAUAACUCUUCCUCUCAAAUAAAUAAAUAAAAUAUUAAAAAAAAAAAUGGUUCGGAAGUACAGCUUGCCAAAGAACAGUUUUGUUUGUUAGAUUUCUAUCAAGCUGCUAAAUCUAAAACACUACUUGAAAGCUAGUCUUGGAUUCUCAUUCCUUUUGAAUUUUGUGUGAAAAAUCACCUUUCAUGAGUCUCCUUGCACACCUUUCCCUACCAUCUGUGGGAAAACAUUUUAUUUGAAGACACCUGACUGGAGGAGAAAUACAUAUUAUGAAAUGGGUGGCUUCCACUUUAAAACUGUAAAGGCUACUUUAAAAACCCCUGCUUUAUAAGUUAGGUUUAAUACAAGCAGAUUAUAGUUUUUCCAGGAAAGUUUCCAAAUAAGAUAAACACUCAUUUACCCCUGAGGCAAGACAAUCAAAGUUGUCAGACCAGUUUGUGUAAACAAAAAAAUAAAAAUUAAAGAGUCUCAUGUUAAAGUAGAGCAAACCUCUUAGGGGAGAAUGAAAAAUAAAGCUGUUGCAUUAAGUAGUGCUCACUGCAUAGGCAACCUGUAACAUUCUUUAAUUUUACUAAGUUUCCCCUAUUUUACUGCUGCCACUAUAUCCCUUUUCCAAAAUCAAAAAGGCUUAGGGGCUAUUUCGCCUAGCAGUUAAGAUGCUCACAUCCCAUACUGGAACACCUGGGUUUAGUUCCCAGCUACAGCUUCCUGCUAUUGCAGACCCUGGGAGGCAGUAGUCUGCAACUGAGUUCUUCCAAUUUUAGUUUAUGUGCUGCCCAAGAGAUUACUGCAACUGAGUUCUUGCCACCCAUGUGGGAGACUAGGAUUGAGUUUCCUGCUCCUGACUUUGGUCCCAGCUAUUAUGGACACUUGAGGAACAAACCAGCAGAUGGGAGGGAGUUCUCUCUCUCUGUCUCUCUCUCUCUACACACACAUACACACACACACACUCUCUCUCUCUUUCUCUCAGAUCCAAUUUUAGGGGGCACACUUCCUUAUCAAAGAUGUUUGCAACAGUGUUUCCACCCAGGGGAUUCAUUUCAGAAAAUGAAAUAACUAAGAAACAGGAGGAGGAAGUAGUUGUAAAUAGACUAAAUAGAAUAAACAGAACUAGACCAAACAAACAAACAAAUCCCCAAAACAAAAACCCUGGAAUUUAAAAUAGUUGUCAGCUUUCCCUUUCCUCUCCUCCAAAGGCACCAUCUGGGGCAGACUUUGAGGGUAGGGACAGCGCUGAUCAAACACUAAAACCUGCCGGCACCUUGAUCUUGACUUUCUGAGCUGCCAGA